CCGAGUUAGGGUGUCGCCUCGGCGCGCCCGACCUCCCAACCCUUUGUCUACCUUACCACAACGUUGCUUCGGCAGGCCCGCCGACCCCUGGAGUCCGCUCCGGGGUGAGGCCGCUGGGGGGCUCUGUGCCCCGGGCCCGCGCCUGUCGAUGGCCCUUCUUAAACUCAUGUCUAAACGUGUCGUCUGAGUAAUAAUUGUAAUGCAAACCA
RNAcentral lists this unclassified non-coding RNA (209 nucleotides) under uncultured Phialophora. RNAcentral's name for it is "sequence contains ITS1". The record is from RNAcentral. Lineage: Eukaryota; Fungi; Ascomycota; Leotiomycetes.